CCCUUAGAUGUCCUGGGCCGCACGCGCGCUACACUGACGAAUGCAACGAGCUUAUAACCUUGGCCGAAAGGUCUGGGUAAUCUCCAAAUUUCGUCGUGAUGGGGAUAGAUUAUUGCAAUUAUUAAUCUUCAACGAGGAAUGCCUAGUAAGCGCAAGUCAUCAGCUUGCGUUGAUUACGUCCCUGCCCUUUGUACACACCGCCCGUCGCUCCUACCGAUUGAAUGGUCCGGUGAAGCCUCCGGAUUGGCGCGCACCUCGGUGCCGCCGAGAAGUUGGCUAAACCUUACCAUUUAGAGGAAGGUGAAGUCGUAACA
Molecule: ribosomal RNA, 314 nt
Filed under: uncultured eukaryote
Lineage: Eukaryota
Description: partial 18S ribosomal RNA
Rfam family: Eukaryotic small subunit ribosomal RNA
Source: RNAcentral